This 393-nucleotide ribosomal RNA is filed under the name uncultured bacterium. RNAcentral's name for it is "bacterial SSU rRNA". It matches the Rfam family "Bacterial small subunit ribosomal RNA", at positions 28 to 424 of the family's 1533-position model. The record is from RNAcentral.
GACGAACGCUGGCGGCGUGCUUAACACAUGCAAGUCGAGCGGUAAGGCCCUUUCGGGGGUACACGAGCGGCGAACGGGUGAGUAACACGUGGGUGACCUGCCCUCAGCUCUGGGAUAAGCCUGGGAAACUGGGUCUAAUACCGGAUAUGACUCCAUGACGCAUGUUGUGGGGUGGAAAGCCUUGUGCGGCUGAGGAUGGGCCCGCGGCCUAUCAGCUUGUUGGUGGGGUGANGGCCUACCAAGGCGACGACGGGUAGCCGGCCUGAGAGGGCGACCGGCCACACUUGGACUGAGACACGGCCCAGACUCCUACGGGAGGCAGCAGUGGGGAAUCUUGCGCAAUGGGCGAAAGCCUGACGCAGCGACGCCGCGUGAGGGAUGACGGCCUCGGUU